GGCCUGGUGGUGUAGUGGUUACACGUCCCAUCCAAUUUGGACAAAUCGCUGAUUCAUGGGAAGUCCCUUGUUCGAAUCAAGGUCAGGCCA
Mycena metata is the source of this 90-nucleotide non-coding RNA. Lineage: Eukaryota; Fungi; Basidiomycota; Agaricomycetes; Agaricales; Mycenaceae. The record is from the annotation of a GenBank genome assembly.